RNAcentral lists this small RNA (270 nucleotides) under Solanum trilobatum. RNAcentral's name for it is "chloroplast small RNA". Lineage: Eukaryota; Viridiplantae; Streptophyta; Magnoliopsida; Solanales; Solanaceae. The record is from RNAcentral.
AUUAUCUAAUUGAAUAAUUUCAUGAUUUCCCCUUCCUAUUUGAUAUUGAUUAACUCACCAAUCCAUAUGUAAUGGAACUCUAUUCGCUUUUCUGAUUGAUACUCUAUUCGCUUUUCUGAUUGAUAUAGUAAAUAAUUGAUAUAUAAAAUAAUAGAAUUAGGAAAUCCUCUAUUUACUAUAUCAAUCACUGAAUAAUAACUUUUUUGUUGACAAAAGAAUAAAGAUCAUUUCUAUUCCAAGGUGGGGAGUUUUAUUUUCCCUAUCGACCUA